RNAcentral lists this ribosomal RNA (465 nucleotides) under Vreelandella stevensii. RNAcentral's name for it is "partial 16S ribosomal RNA". It matches the Rfam family "Bacterial small subunit ribosomal RNA", at positions 338 to 795 of the family's 1533-position model. The record is from RNAcentral. Lineage: Bacteria; Pseudomonadati; Pseudomonadota; Gammaproteobacteria; Oceanospirillales; Halomonadaceae.
UCUACGGGGCGCAGCAGUGGGGAAUAUUGGACAAUGGGCGAAAGCCUGAUCCAGCCAUGCCGCGUGUGUGAAGAAGGCCUUCGGGUUGUAAAGCACUUUCAGUGGGGAAGAAAGCCUUGGGGCUAAUACCCUCGAGGAAGGACAUCACCCACAGAAGAAGCACCGGCUAACUCCGUGCCAGCAGCCGCGGUAAUACGGAGGGUGCGAGCGUUAAUCGGAAUUACUGGGCGUAAAGCGCGCGUAGGCGGUCUGAUAAGCCGGUUGUGAAAGCCCCGGGCUCAACCUGGGAACGGCAUCCGGAACUGUCAGGCUAGAGUGCAGGAGAGGAAGGUAGAAUUCCCGGUGUAGCGGUGAAAUGCGUAGAGAUCGGGAGGAAUACCAGUGGCGAAGGCGGCCUUCUGGACUGACACUGACGCUGAGGUGCGAAAGCGUGGGUAGCAAACAGGAUUAGAUACCCGAGUAGUC